CGUAUGGCGACCGGCGCACGGGUGAGUAACGCGUAUGCAACCUGCCCGAUACCGGGGUAUAGCCCAUGGAAACGUGGAUUAACACCCCAUAGUACUUUUAUCCUGCCUGGGAUGUGAGUUAAAUGUUCAAGGUAUCGGAUGGGCAUGCGUCCUAUUAGUUAGUUGGCGGGGUAACAGCCCACCAAGACGAUGAUAGGUAGGGGUUCUGGGAGGAAGGUCCCCCACAUUGGAACUGAGACACGGUCCAA
This 248-nucleotide ribosomal RNA is filed under the name uncultured bacterium. Its description in RNAcentral is "partial 16S ribosomal RNA". It matches the Rfam family "Bacterial small subunit ribosomal RNA", at positions 85 to 334 of the family's 1533-position model. The record is from RNAcentral.